AUUGAACGCUGGCGGCAUGCCUUACACAUGCAAGUCGAACGGUAACAGGUCUUCGGGUGCUGACGAGUGGCGAACGGGUGAGUAAUACAUCGGAACGUGCCCAGACGUGGGGGAUAACUAGGCGAAAGCUUUGCUAAUACCGCAUACGAUCUAAGGAUGAAAGCAGGGGACCGCAAGGCCUUGCGCGUUUGGAGCGGCCGAUGGCAGAUUAGGUAGUUGGUGGGAUAAAAGCUUACCAAGCCGACGAUCUGUAGCUGGUCUGAGAGGACGACCAGCCACACUGGGACUGAGACACGGCCCAGACUCCUACGGGAGGCAGCAGUGGGGAAUUUUGGACAAUGGGCGAAAGCCUGAUCCAGCAAUGCCGCGUGCAGGAUGAAGGCCUUCGGGUUGUAAACUGCUUUUGUACGGAACGAAAAGGCUCUGGCUAAUACCUGGGGCACAUGACGGUACCGUAAGAAUAAGCACCGGCUAACUACGUG
This 482-nucleotide ribosomal RNA is filed under the name uncultured bacterium. Its description in RNAcentral is "partial 16S ribosomal RNA". It matches the Rfam family "Bacterial small subunit ribosomal RNA", at positions 30 to 507 of the family's 1533-position model. The record is from RNAcentral.